UUUUUUGUAGGUUAACUUAAAUCAUUGUGUUUUCAAUACAGGGAUACCAUUAGGUCUAAAAUU
This 63-nucleotide transfer RNA is filed under the name Brachystomella parvula. RNAcentral's name for it is "tRNA-Glu". Lineage: Eukaryota; Metazoa; Arthropoda; Collembola; Poduromorpha; Brachystomellidae. The record is from RNAcentral.